RNAcentral lists this ribosomal RNA (465 nucleotides) under uncultured bacterium. Its description in RNAcentral is "partial 16S ribosomal RNA". It matches the Rfam family "Bacterial small subunit ribosomal RNA", at positions 338 to 795 of the family's 1533-position model. The record is from RNAcentral.
CCUACGGGUGGCAGCAGUAGGGAAUCUUCCACAAUGGGCGAAAGCCUGAUGCAGCAACGCCGCGUGGGUGAAGAAGGUCUUCGGAUCGUAAAACCCUGUUGUUAGAGAAGAAAGUGCGUGAGAGUAACUGUUCACGUUUCGACGGUAUCUAACCAGAAAGCCACGGCUAACUACGUGCCAGCAGCCGCGGUAAUACGUAGGUGGCAAGCGUUAUCCGGAUUUAUUGGGCGUAAAGGGAACGCAGGCGGUCUUUUAAGUCUGAUGUGAAAGCCUUCGGCUUAACCGGGGUAGUGCAUUGGAAACUGGAAGACUUGAGUGCAGAAGAGGAGAGUGGAACUCCAGGUGUAGCGGUGAAAUGCGUAGAUAUAUGGAAGAACACCAGUGGCGAAAGCGGCUCUCUGGUCUGUAACUGACGCUGAGGUUCGAAAGCGUGGGUAGCAAACAGGAUUAGAUACCCGGGUAGUC